CAGUCGCCGCGGGAAAACGUAGGUGGCGAGCGUUGCUCGGAAUCACUGGGCGUAAAGGGUGCGUAGGCGGGUCUUUAAGUCAGGGGUGAAAUCCUGGAGCUCAACUCCAGAACUGCCUUUGAUACUGAAGAUCUUGAGUUCGGGAGAGGUGAGUGGAACUGCGAGUGUAGAGGUGAAAUUCGUAGAUAUUCGCAAGAACACCAGUGGCGAAGGCGGCUCACUGGCCCGAUACUGACGCUGAGGCACGAAAGCGUGGGGAGCAAGCAGGAUUAGAUACCACGGUAGUCCCUGUCUCUUAUAC
RNAcentral lists this ribosomal RNA (301 nucleotides) under uncultured bacterium. Its description in RNAcentral is "partial 16S ribosomal RNA". It matches the Rfam family "Bacterial small subunit ribosomal RNA", at positions 509 to 807 of the family's 1533-position model. The record is from RNAcentral.